AUGUUUAUAGUAUAUUUAAUACCUUAGAUUUUCAUUCUAAUAAUUUGUCUAACACCCAAUAAACAUU
Molecule: transfer RNA, 67 nt
Filed under: Trypanobia cryptica
Lineage: Eukaryota; Metazoa; Annelida; Polychaeta; Phyllodocida; Syllidae
Description: tRNA-Glu
Source: RNAcentral